Molecule: ribosomal RNA, 493 nt
Filed under: uncultured bacterium
Lineage: Bacteria
Description: partial 16S ribosomal RNA
Rfam family: Bacterial small subunit ribosomal RNA
Source: RNAcentral
AUUGAACGCUGGCAGCAUGCUUUACACAUGCAAGUCGAACGGUAACAGGUUAAGCUGACGAGUGGCGAACGGGUGAGUAAUGCAUCGGAACGUGCCCGAUCGUGGGGGAUAACGCAGCGAAAGCUGCGCUAAUACCGCAUACGAUCUGAGGAUGAAAGCGGGGGACCGUAAGGCCUCGCGCGAUCGGAGCGGCCGAUGUCAGAUUAGGUAGUUGGUGGGGUAAAGGCCCACCAAGCCGACGAUCUGUAGCUGGUCUGAGAGGACGACCAGCCACACUGGGACUGAGACACGGCCCAGACUCCUACGGGAGGCAGCAGUGGGGAAUUUUGGACAAUGGGCGAAAGCCUGAUCCAGCAAUGCCGCGUGCAGGAAGAAGGCCUUCGGGUUGUAAACUGCUUUUGUACGGAGCGAAAAGGUCCUUUCUAAUACAAGGGGCUCAUGACGGUACCGUAAGAAUAAGCACCGGCUAACUACGUGCCAGCCGCCGCAGUAA